RNAcentral lists this non-coding RNA (27 nucleotides) under Rattus norvegicus (Norway rat). Lineage: Eukaryota; Metazoa; Chordata; Mammalia; Rodentia; Muridae. The record is from RNAcentral.
UUGAAAAUGUCAAAACCGAUUGAGUUC